GAUGAAGAACGUAGCGAAAUGCGAUAAGUAAUGUGAAUUGCAGAAUUCAGUGAAUCAUCGAAUCUUUGAACGCACCUUGCGCCCCUUGGUUAUUCAAAAGGGCAUGCCUGUUUGUGUAUCAUGAACACCUCAACUCUUGUGGUUUCCCACAAUGAGCUUGGACUGUGGAGGUUUUGUUGGCCCUGUGGUCAGCUCCUCUCAAAUGGAUCAGCUUACCGGUGUUUGGUGGCAUUACGGGUGUGAUAACUAUCUACGCUCGUGGUCGUCUCCAAAUAACCUCCAGUGAUGGAGGUUCGCUGGAGCUUAUAAAUGUCUCUCCCCAGUGAAGACAGCCUUUGAACGUUCGAUCUCAAAUCAGGUAGGACUACCCGCUGAACUUAAGCAUAUCAAUAAGCGGAGGA
Molecule: unclassified non-coding RNA, 401 nt
Filed under: soil metagenome
Description: partial contains 5.8S ribosomal RNA, internal transcribed spacer 2, and large subunit ribosomal RNA
Rfam family: 5.8S ribosomal RNA (bases 1-121)
Source: RNAcentral